UUAUGUGUGUGUUUGGUCGUGAUUUACAGGAGCCAAGAAAGGGGCUCUUACAAAGCCCUAAAACUCACAAGAAAUCCAACAAAAAUCGAAGAUAGAACAAGCUAAAAAUUGGGGCUUUUAAUAAAUUUGGGAUCACCCAAGCUAGAAGAUUGCAAGUUUGACUCUGACAAGCUAGGUAGGAGCUUGGAAAUGAACGGGUCAAAUGGAUACAAGUUCAAGUAUGAAGCUCGCAAGGAUGCAAGGUAAGUAUAACUUACACUAGUCAUAUAUUUUAGAAUGUUCUUUUGUCGUAUUGACUACGAAUAAGACAAAUGGUAAUUUAGUCACACGUUGACAAUAAUCGUUAGUUUUAAAAGACGCUUUCCCGCGUAAGACAUAAAGAGCCGAAAGUGGUAAUAAACGGUUUAUAAAUAAAAUGAGCAUACGGUGUUAAAAGGAGCGAGUCAUGUAGAUGAGAUGAUAAUAAAUAUUAUCUCGCAAAGGUAAACGGUCAAUUCGGCCAAACGGGUCAAAAGGUGUAGACAUCACCUUUUGACAAUAUCGACUAAUGAUUCUGGUGUCGAGUUAUAUGUUUACAGGAGUAGAUAUCCAAUGGAUACUCGCAUCGCUCUUAAUUAGCAAUUAUAAAGCAAGGUAUUAAACCGGGUACAUUUUGGAUGCCGGAAGACGAUCAAGCUCAUUGGAGAACCGAACACGAUAAAGAUACAUGCUUCCGCACAGUGUCCCGUCGUAAAUUUUAAACGACGAAUUCAAUUACGUUAUGUCGAAUAACUUAUGAUUUGUAAAAGUUUUAAUAAACCCAUAUUUUUAUAGUAUGUGUAGUCUUAUCUACACAACUAAUUGUUGGUAAUUAUAUGUAAAACCGUUAAAUAGUAAUUAGGGUGUUACAAGUUGGUAUCAGAGCUCAUGGUUAAAGAGUAAAGUGUGUUCGGUUCGAGGCUUGAUCGCAAAUCCGGUAAGUACAUGUAUAUUAAUGGUUUAGUAUGAUUAAAGUGUUGUGAACAACACAUAGGGUUAUCGUGUAAUACACGUUACUCCAAUUAAAUGAUUGAUAUAGUUAACGAAAUUAUGUGCGUUGACACGUAUAGUAAAAAGUCUCGUAUUAAAUACAGGCGAUUAUUGAUGUAGACAUUACUAAUCUUUGUAAAUGUUUUAGUUGAAGGACACUCGCAUCUGAAGAUGGUUAGAGUUUAACAAAUUUCGAAUAUGACAGAGGAACAGUCCGAAGUAUGACAAGUAGAGCAUGCUCACCAAGGACCCAAAUCGCGUAACGAUAGCAAGUAAGGAUAAUUGGCAAGGAAAGCCCGUUAGGGCAAGCAUUACCAGUUUGACUCUGACAAGCUAGGUAGGAGCUUGGAAAUGAACGGGUCAAAUGGAUACAAGUUCAAGUAUGAAGCUCGCAAGGAUGCAAGAUAUCCAAUGGAUACUCGCAUCGCUCUUAAUUAGCAAUUAUAAAGCAAGGUAUUAAACCGGGUUAGUAAGUUGAUCCGAGCCAGGUACAUUUUGAAUGCCGGAAGACGAUUAAGCUCAUUGGAGAACCGAAUACGAUAAAGAUACAUGCUUCCGCACAGUGUCCCGUCGUAAAUUUUAAACGACGAAUUCAAUUACGUUAUGUCGAAUAACUUAUGAUUUGUAAAAGUUUUAAUAAACCCAUAUUUUUAUAGUAUGUGUAGUCUUAUCUACACAACUAAUUGUUGGUAAUUAUAUGUAAAACCGUUAAAUAGUAAUUAGGGUGUUACAGUUU
RNAcentral lists this long non-coding RNA (1744 nucleotides) under Helianthus annuus (common sunflower). Its description in RNAcentral is "hypothetical non coding rna". The record is from RNAcentral. Lineage: Eukaryota; Viridiplantae; Streptophyta; Magnoliopsida; Asterales; Asteraceae.